RNAcentral lists this ribosomal RNA (497 nucleotides) under uncultured bacterium. RNAcentral's name for it is "partial 16S ribosomal RNA". It matches the Rfam family "Bacterial small subunit ribosomal RNA", at positions 28 to 507 of the family's 1533-position model. The record is from RNAcentral.
GACGAACGCUGGCGGCGUGCCUAAUACAUGCAAGUAGAACGCUGAAGGAAGGAGCUUGCUCUUUCUGGAUGAGUUGCGAACGGGUGAGUAACGCGUAGGUAACCUGCCUGGUAGCGGGGGAUAACUAUUGGAAACGAUAGCUAAUACCGCAUAAACUUGAUUAUUGCAUGAUAGUCAAUUAAAAGGUGCAACUGCACCACUACCAGAUGGACCUGCGUUGUAUUAGCUAGUUGGUGGGGUAACGGCUCACCAAGGCGACGAUACAUAGCCGACCUGAGAGGGUGAUCGGCCACACUGGGACUGGGACACGGCCCAGACUCCUACGGGAGGCAGCAGUAGGGAAUCUUCGGCAAUGGACGGAAGUCUGACCGAGCAACGCCGCGUGAGUGAAGAAGGUUUUCGGAUCGUAAAGCUCUGUUGUAAGAGAAGAACGAGUGUGAGAGUGGAAAGUUCACACUGUGACGGUAUCUUACCAGAAAGGGACGGCUAACUACGUG